Molecule: long non-coding RNA, 740 nt
Organism: Pocillopora damicornis (cauliflower coral)
Lineage: Eukaryota; Metazoa; Cnidaria; Anthozoa; Scleractinia; Pocilloporidae
Source: RefSeq, a predicted model, not a curated record
CAACAGUGAGUUCUGUCAUGAUAUUGAAGCUUAUCCAACACAAAGAUCCACUAACAUUGUACAAUGAUCUGACAAAAAGUCUCUUGUCUCAUGUCACAUGACAGUAAAAUUUUCAAGCAGUUGCAUAGCCAACAGGUCAAUGUGAGUGAAGCUUUUGAAAAAAAAACAAAAACCAACCACAACUACAGUUACAAAAUGCAAAGAUUUCAAGGGCAUUAUCCAUAGGUUCAUAGGAUUGUCAAAAGUGAGGUCUUCAUCCCUCAAUGUUACAUCUAAUUCAUCAUCAUCAUCUGUAUAAUCCAAGAUUCCUAUGUCGUCUUCAUCAGCAUAAAGACUAACAGAGCCAUCAGACAUGUUAUCUGAAUAAUGUAAAUCAUCCAAGUCCUCAAGUUGACUGAAAGAAGAUGACACCAGAAUUUGUUGUCUCGUCCUCGUCUGUUAAUGUGACUGGUUUGAAUCGUCGACGGUUUGCCGACAAGGUCUUUUCAACAGGUUUUCGCUGUCUGGAACUAUAGGGCGUCUCAUAUUUGGACAGUCGUGAAGCAAUGGCAGAAUCUAAGGGGGUCUGUCUGUUUGGAAAGCCAGCUCCAAUCUUUGGUUUCGGAGCCACUUUGGGACGAUUUGUUCGCGGCUUAUCACUAAGUCGCGGUGAAGAUCUUGAUUGAGAGAGUUCUCUACUUGAAACCGAUAAUCCUACAUCGUUGGAAAGAAUGAGCGCUGAUGGAAGGUUUGGUUUUUCG